This 433-nucleotide ribosomal RNA is filed under the name uncultured bacterium. RNAcentral's name for it is "partial 16S ribosomal RNA". It matches the Rfam family "Bacterial small subunit ribosomal RNA", at positions 29 to 507 of the family's 1533-position model. The record is from RNAcentral.
AACGAACGCUGGCGGCAUGCCUAACACAUGCGAGUCGAACGAGGCCUUCGGGUCUAGUGGCGCACGGGUGCGUAACGCGUGGGAACCUGCCCUUAGGUUCGGAAUAACUCCCCGAAAGGGGUGCUAAUACCGGAUAAUGUCUUCGGACCAAAGAUUUAUCGCCUUUGGAUGUGCCCGCGUUGGAUUAGCUAGUUGGUAGGGUAAAAGCCUACCAAGGCGACGAUCCAUAGCUGGUCUGAGAGGAUGAUCAGCCACACUGGGACUGAGACACGGCCCAGACUCCUACGGGAGGCAGCAGUGGGGAAUAUUGGACAAUGGGCGAAAGCCUGAUCCAGCAAUGCCGCGUGAGUGAUGAAGGCCUUAGGGUUGUAAAGCUCUUUUACCCGGGAUGAUAAUGACAGUACCGGGAGAAUAAGCUCCGGCUAACUCCGUG